RNAcentral lists this ribosomal RNA (443 nucleotides) under uncultured bacterium. RNAcentral describes it as "partial 16S ribosomal RNA". It matches the Rfam family "Bacterial small subunit ribosomal RNA", at positions 338 to 795 of the family's 1533-position model. The record is from RNAcentral.
CCUACGGGAGACAGCAGUGGGGAAUAUUGGGCAAUGGGCGCAAGCCUGACCCAGCGACGCCGCGUGAGGGAAGAAGGCUUUCGGGUUGUAAACUUCUUUUAGCAGGGAAGAAGCAAGUGCCGGUACCUGAUCAAUAAGCCACGGCUAACUACGGGCCAGCAGCCGCGGUAAUACGUAGGGGGCAAGCGUUAUCCGGAUUUACUGGGUGUAAAGGGCGGGUAGGCGGGAAAGCAAGUCAGAUGUGAAAACCACGGGCUCAACCUGUGGCCUGCCUUUGAAACUGUUUUUCUUGAGUGCUGGAGAGGCAGACGGAAUUCCUGGUGUAGCGGUGAAAUGCGUAGAUAUUAGGAGGAACAUCAGUGGCGAAGGCGGUUUGCUGGACAGCAACUGACGCUGAGGCGCGAAAGCGUGGGGAGCAAACAGGAUUAGAUACCCGGGUAGUC